ACCCCACAAAACAGCGUUUGUGGAGGAACCUCCCCGUUUCUUUUGACCUCCGACGUCGGAAGUGAUGAUCACGAUUCUCGGUUAGCCAUGGCCGAUCUCAUAAUUUUCCCCUCUCAACGGUUACGAGACCCAAAGAUGUCCCUUUCUCAUAUGCAGGUAGGCAUAUUAUGAUGGUGAGUGGUGGCAGGCAUAGAUUUGUGACUGGUUUUAUUCAACAUCUAAGAGUGUUCUGUUUUUGUUGCGCACCAGUUGUUCGACGAAUUGUCUGAUACUCUGAUUCUCACGUUGGACUACUUGGAAUUUUCACAUGAACAAAAAUUAUUGGGUCAUCGGAGUCUUCAUCAUCAACUUCAUCUACCUCCACUUUAGCUGUCAGGCAUGCUUGAAGUAUACUAAGCAUUUGCAAUGAUAGUAAG
Long non-coding RNA from Helianthus annuus (common sunflower), 416 nucleotides. RefSeq lists it as uncharacterized. The record is from RefSeq and is a predicted model, not a curated record. The transcript is spliced from 3 exons. Lineage: Eukaryota; Viridiplantae; Streptophyta; Magnoliopsida; Asterales; Asteraceae.